Molecule: non-coding RNA, 82 nt
Organism: Echinostoma caproni
Lineage: Eukaryota; Metazoa; Platyhelminthes; Trematoda; Plagiorchiida; Echinostomatidae
Source: Rfam
GGCCUCAUAGCUCAGCUGGUAGAGCAUGCGCGUACAAAGCGUAGGCGGUGUCCGUGCGUGGGUUCGAAUCCCACCGAGGCUA